AAAGGACCUACAAAUAACAAGGAGUGCAGGAAAGAAUUACAAAGAGCUUUAACUUCCAUUCAUCAAGUUUAUUGUUAUGCCAAGACCAUUCAUAUGCACCAAACUUGUAUAUUGGUAUUUAGUUUCAUGAAUGUGAUAAUUAUAUAAUUUGGACAAGCAAUGCUUGUUCAUAGUGAAGGCAAAUAAAUGAUAGGGCUAAGCUUACAGUGGUAAUUUAGUAUAGAGAACUUAAAUACUAAAAUAAGUUUUGACCUGGCCACUUGGGAAGUUGACUAAAAUUGGGUGCGAAAUGUGUAACAAUUUUCUAGGUAGUAAGAUGUUAACCAGAAUUACUAAAAUGAUGCCAAUCUCGGUAGAAGCCCAAAAACCGCCAUGAUGCCAGUGAGGGAAUGACCCUUUCAGGCAACUUGAGGGAUAUAUAUGCUAGAGACUUUGAAUGAAUAUGAACCAGUUGUCUCAGGCACACCCAACAAAAGAAAGAGAAAGCCAGAUAGAUCAUAUAAGAGAAUCUAUUGACCACUUUAGUGCCACAGUAGUGAGUCUAGAGUUAAGUUGUCAAUGCUCAAUUCAAUAUGGGCACACAACGUGAUGGUGUACCUCAGAUAGCCAGGCCCCCUACUUAUUACCAUUAUUAUUAUUAUUUUUACAUAUAUCCAUUGUUAGAUACCCAAAAAUUCAUAGAAAUAUUUGGGAAUAAUUUGUAUUAGUACAACUAUUGACAUAAGAACUAAAGGCCCAAAGGAAAAAUGUUUAGCAGUCAAUGUAGCAUACCCAUUCAUAAGAACCUUCUUG
RNAcentral lists this unclassified non-coding RNA (792 nucleotides) under Hevea brasiliensis (rubber tree). Lineage: Eukaryota; Viridiplantae; Streptophyta; Magnoliopsida; Malpighiales; Euphorbiaceae. The record is from RNAcentral.